This 669-nucleotide ribosomal RNA is filed under the name Pycnoporellus alboluteus. Its description in RNAcentral is "LSU rRNA". It matches the Rfam family "Eukaryotic large subunit ribosomal RNA", at positions 40 to 686 of the family's 3401-position model. The record is from RNAcentral. Lineage: Eukaryota; Fungi; Basidiomycota; Agaricomycetes; Polyporales.
AUAUCAAUAAGCGGAGGAAAAGAAACUAACAAGGAUUCCCCUAGUAACUGCGAGUGAAGCGGGAAAAGCCCAAAUUUAAAAUCUGUCGGCCUUGGGUCGUCCGAGUUGUAAUCUGGAGAAGUGUUACCCGCGCCGGACCGUGUACAAGUCCCUUGGAAGAGGGCAUCUUAGAGGGUGAAAAUCCCGUCUACGACAUGGAUCCCCGGUGCUUUGUGGUGCGCUCUCGAUGAGUCGAGUUGUUUGGGAAUGCAGCUCUAAAUGGGUGGUAAACUCCAUCUAAGGCUAAAUAUAGGCGAGAGACCGAUAGCGAACAAGUACCGUGAGGGAAAGAUGAAAAGAACUUUGGAAAGAGAGUUAAACAGUACGUGAAAUUGCUGAAAGGGAAACGAUUGAAGUCAGUCGCGUUGUCCGGGAUUCAGCCUUGCCUCGGCGUGGUUUACUUCCCGGUUAACGGGUCAGCAUCGAUUUUGGCCGCCGGAAAAGGGCGGAGGGAAUGUGGCACCCUCGGGUGUGUUAUAGCCCUCUGUCGGAUUACGGCGGCUGGGAUCGAGGAUCGCAGCGCAGCUCCUUCGGGGGUGCGGGUUCGCCCAGCUUAUGCGCUUAGGAUGCUGGCAUAAUGGCUUUAAACGACCCGUCUUGAAACACGGACCAAGGAGUCUAACAUGCCUG